This 254-nucleotide ribosomal RNA is filed under the name uncultured bacterium. Its description in RNAcentral is "partial 16S ribosomal RNA". It matches the Rfam family "Bacterial small subunit ribosomal RNA", at positions 524 to 776 of the family's 1533-position model. The record is from RNAcentral.
GACGUAGGGUGCAAGCGUUGUCCGGAAUCAUUGGGCGUAAAGAGCUCGUAGGCGGCUUAGUAAGUCGGGUGUGAAACCUCCAGGCUCAACCUGGAGACGCCACCCGAUACUGCUAUAGCUAGAGUCCAGUAGGGGAGUGCGGAAUUCCCGGUGUAGCGGUGAAAUGCGCAGAUAUCGGGAGGAACACCAGCGGCGAAGGCGGCACUCUGGGCUGGUACUGACGCUCAGGAGCGAAAGCGUGGGUAGCGAACAGG